AAGACUAUAGACCUGCGGAGUACCUGCGGAGGGAUCAUUACCGAGUUUUCAACUCCCUAACCCUUCUGUGAACCUACCUAUCGUUGCUUCGGCGGACUCGCCCCAGCCCGGACGCGGACUGGACCAGCGGCCCGCCGGGGACCUCAAACUCUUGUAUUCCAGCAUCUUCUGAAUACGCCGCAAGGCAAAACAAAUGAAUCAAAACUUUUAACAACGGAUCUCUAGAUCGGAAGAGCACAC
RNAcentral lists this unclassified non-coding RNA (240 nucleotides) under soil metagenome. RNAcentral's name for it is "partial contains 5.8S ribosomal RNA, internal transcribed spacer 2, and large subunit ribosomal RNA". The record is from RNAcentral.